GUAAGCCUCCUUAAGGCCAGGGGCUUUCUCUGUUUAGUUCCUGGCACAUAAAACAGCAUCUAGCGCUGUCAUAAGGGCUCUGUCGAUAUUUUUUCCAUGGAUGGUUGGCUAUGCAUCAGGGUAGACAGACACUGAAACCAACCAACAGUCCCAGUGACUGGAGGGGCCCUCCUGGUCUGUUUGAGGCACAGUAGGGGUGAAGCAGGUGGCCUGGGGUGCCAGGGCUGAUUGUCUCUCUAAGCCUUGGCCGGUGGCCACACAGCAGCCCCCAGCCCCUCUCCCGUCAGCUGCCUGGUGCUUUGCCCACACCAGGGUCUCUGGACACCAGCUCUUCUAUCACCAGCCAGCCUGAGGCCUUCUUCUCGAAGCUGCAGGAGUUUCGGGAAACCAACAAGGAGGAGUGUAUCUGCAGCCAUCCUGAACCCCAGUUCCUAGGCCUGCGCGAGAGCAGUGGCAGCGGCGUGGAGGAAGACCAUGAAUGUGAGUGCGGGCCCUCAGCUAGGCCGCUGAGUAGUCCUGGCCUCCCCUGCCCUAGAGCAGUCCCAUUUGAGGUUUGGGGCCUGGGGAGGCCCCUGAGGUGUUGAGACUCGUGGAGGGAGGCCUGCAGUCUGGACAGGGUGGCCAAGCCCUGGUAGGUUGGAGUGAGCUAAGGCCUGGCCACCGAAUUAGGGGCUGCCCUGUGUGACACCAUCCCACCCUCCCCAGCAGUGCCCCUGUGCUGGUGGGACUCCAUCCCAGCUCCUGAGAGCCCCAGGAGGAUGUCCCUCCCCACCCCUUAGGGCGUGGGCCC
Molecule: small RNA, 790 nt
Filed under: Pongo abelii (Sumatran orangutan)
Lineage: Eukaryota; Metazoa; Chordata; Mammalia; Primates; Hominidae
Description: processed transcript
Source: RNAcentral